CGACCGCUGGCGGCGUGCUUCACACAUGCACGUUGACCGGAAAGGCCCUGCUUGCAGGGUACUCGAGUGGCGAACGGGUGAGUAACACGUGGGUGAUCUGCCCUGCACUUCGGGAUAAGCCUGGGAAACUGGGUCUAAUACCGGAUAGGAGCCAUUUUUAGUGUGAUGGUUGGAAAGUUUUUUCGGUGUAGGAUGAGCUCGCGGCCUAUCAGCUUGUUGGUGGGGUAAUGGCCUACCAAGGCGGCGACGGGUAGCCGGCCUGAGAGGGUGGACGGCCACAUUGGGACUGAGAUACGGCCCAGACUCCUACGGGAGGCAGCAGUGGGGAAUAUUGCACAAUGGGCGCAAGCCUGAUGCAGCGACGCCGCGUGGGGGAUGACGGCCUUCGGGUUGUAAACUCCUUUCGCUAGGGACGAAGCUUUUUGUGACGGUACCUAGAGAAGAAGCACCGGCUAACUACGUG
This 463-nucleotide ribosomal RNA is filed under the name uncultured bacterium. RNAcentral's name for it is "partial 16S ribosomal RNA". It matches the Rfam family "Bacterial small subunit ribosomal RNA", at positions 30 to 507 of the family's 1533-position model. The record is from RNAcentral.